Molecule: ribosomal RNA, 491 nt
Filed under: uncultured bacterium
Lineage: Bacteria
Description: partial 16S ribosomal RNA
Rfam family: Bacterial small subunit ribosomal RNA
Source: RNAcentral
AGUGAAUGCUGGCGGUAGGCCUAACACAUGCAAGUCGAACGGCAGCACAGUAAGAGCUUGCUCUUACGGGUGGCGAGUGGCGGACGGGUGAGGAAUACAUCGGAAUCUACUUUUUCGUGGGGGAUAACGUAGGGAAACUUACGCUAAUACCGCAUACGACCUACGGGUGAAAGCAGGGGAUCUUCGGACCUUGCGCGAUUGAAUGAGCCGAUGUCGGAUUAGCUAGUUGGCGGGGUAAAGGCCCACCAAGGCGACGAUCCGUAGCUGGUCUGAGAGGAUGAUCAGCCACACUGGAACUGAGACACGGUCCAGACUCCUACGGGAGGCAGCAGUGGGGAAUAUUGGACAGUGGGCGCAAGCCUGAUCCAGCCAUACCGCGUGGGUGAAGAAGGCCUUCGGGUUGUAAAGCCCUUUUGUUGGGAAAGAAAAGCAGCAGGUUAAUACCCCGCUGUUCUGACGGUACCCAAAGAAUAAGCACCGGCUAACUUCGU